UACGUAGGGGGCUAGCGUUAUCCGGAUUUACUGGGCGUAAAGGGUGCGUAGGCGGUCUUUCAAGCCAGAAGUGAAAGGCUACGGCUCAACCGUAGUAAGCUUUUGGAACUGUAAGACUUGAGUGCAGGAGAGGAGAGUGGAAUUCCUAGUGUAGCGGUGAAAUGCGUAGAUAUUAGGAGGAACACCAGUAGCGAAGGCGGCUCUCUGGACUGUAACUGACACUGAGGCACGAAAGCGUGGGGAGCAAACAGGAUUAGAUACCCUGGUAGUCCCU
This 274-nucleotide ribosomal RNA is filed under the name uncultured prokaryote. Its description in RNAcentral is "partial 16S ribosomal RNA". It matches the Rfam family "Bacterial small subunit ribosomal RNA", at positions 524 to 798 of the family's 1533-position model. The record is from RNAcentral.